CUCCUAACUACAAUAUAUCGUUAGCUGGCAUGUGUCUGUGAUUGUCCCACUGGAGGCUCCGAAGGAGGCUAGAUUCUGAAUUCGUAUGAUCACAAUUGAACUAAAGAGCAGAAAAAUCGACAAGUAACAUUUUUUUUUGAUGUAAUGAAAUACAAUUCAUGUCCAAGUAUAUCAUGUAAAUUUGAUCUAAUAUUUUACAAAUAUUUUUAUAUAGAGUAUAUAAGAUAGUUAAUUUAAACAAAAUAUCAUCGCAAUAAUUUUUCAAAUC
RNAcentral lists this long non-coding RNA (268 nucleotides) under Elaeis guineensis (African oil palm). RNAcentral's name for it is "long non-coding RNA (EGUI_LNC023884)". Lineage: Eukaryota; Viridiplantae; Streptophyta; Magnoliopsida; Arecales; Arecaceae. The record is from RNAcentral.